Lemur catta (Ring-tailed lemur) is the source of this 327-nucleotide long non-coding RNA. RefSeq lists it as uncharacterized. NCBI's taxonomy places the organism in Eukaryota, Metazoa, Chordata, Mammalia, Primates, Lemuridae. The record is from RefSeq and is a predicted model, not a curated record. The transcript is spliced from 3 exons.
GCCUGUGAAGCAGCGCUUAUGGUCGGGAUCACGCGUCCCUGCGCUAGGGCUCAGACUGGAGGAAUCGGAGGCCUCAACGAGCCGCUGGAGUCCUCCUGGCAGUCUCCGAGGCGUGGGCUGCUGCCAGAUCACUGCCUUCCAGACGAAUGUUGCACUAAUUUGACAACUACCCAUGGAUAAGGGAAUCUCUGUGGGAGUCUCAGAGUUCAGCGGGGAAGUUCCAGCACACAACUGGAUCACAUAAUAAAAACUGAGAGUAGAUGCAUUGAAGAGGGAUGAUGCAGUAGGAAGGCCCUUGCAGGAUGCCAGCGCUCUGACAGACUUUGC